AUGGAAACAGAUGGCACCAGGAGGCUGCUAGUGGAGGCAGGGCCACGCCGAGGUCGAAGGUGGCCGGGCGAGCUCGCCGGAGGUAGUCCGCGGUCAGACGAAGCAGCAGCAAGGCAAGGCAGCACGCACGAACUGCAGGCCAGCACGGUGGCCUCCAUGGCCGGCGGCCAUGUGGCUCGCGUGAGGCAAGGCGGGAGAGCAAAGGACAGUCACGGGCAGAGGAACGAUGCAGCAGAGGGGAGGCGUCACACGGAGGAGAGUCGACGGGGUGGCGCUCACUGGAGUCGGGGCCGAAGGGGACGGGUCGAGGGGCUCCUCCCCUGGUGA
This 327-nucleotide ribosomal RNA is filed under the name Triticum aestivum (bread wheat). RNAcentral describes it as "partial small subunit ribosomal RNA". The record is from RNAcentral. Lineage: Eukaryota; Viridiplantae; Streptophyta; Magnoliopsida; Poales; Poaceae.